RNAcentral lists this transfer RNA (77 nucleotides) under Zoogloeaceae bacterium. Its description in RNAcentral is "tRNA-Pro". It matches the Rfam family "tRNA". From Rfam's summary of the family: Transfer RNA (tRNA) molecules are approximately 80 nucleotides in length. Their secondary structure includes four short double-helical elements and three loops (D, anti-codon, and T loops). The record is from RNAcentral. Lineage: Bacteria; Pseudomonadati; Pseudomonadota; Betaproteobacteria; Rhodocyclales; Zoogloeaceae.
CGGGGUGUGGCGCAGUCCGGUAGCGCAUCUGCUUUGGGAGCAGAGGGUCGUGAGUUCAAAUCCCACCACCCCGACCA